RNAcentral lists this ribosomal RNA (253 nucleotides) under uncultured bacterium. Its description in RNAcentral is "partial 16S ribosomal RNA". It matches the Rfam family "Bacterial small subunit ribosomal RNA", at positions 524 to 776 of the family's 1533-position model. The record is from RNAcentral.
AACGUAGGUGGCAAGCGUUGUCCGGAUUUACUGGGCGUAAAGGGAGCGUAGGUGGAUAUUUAAGUGGGAUGUGAAAUACUCGGGCUUAACCUGAGUGCUGCAUUCCAAACUGGAUAUCUAGAGUGCAGGAGAGGAAAGUAGAAUUCCUAGUGUAGCGGUGAAAUGCGUAGAGAUUAGGAAGAAUACCAGUGGCGAAGGCGACUUUCUGGACUGUAACUGACACUGAGGCUCGAAAGAGUGGGGAGCAAACAGG